AGUGAACGCUGGCGGUAGGCCUAACACAUGCAAGUCGAACGGCAGCACAGUAAGAGCUUGCUCUUACGGGUGGCGAGUGGCGGACGGGUGAGGAAUACAUCGGAAUCUACUUUUUCGUGGGGGAUAACGUAGGGAAACUUACGCUAAUACCGCAUACGACCUACGGGUGAAAGCAGGGGAUCUUCGGACCUUGCGCGAUUGAAUGAGCCGAUGUCGGAUUAGCUAGUUGGCGGGGUAAAGGCCCACCAAGGCGACGAUCCGUAGCUGGUCUGAGAGGAUGAUCAGCCACACUGGAACUGAGACACGGUCCAGACUCCUACGGGAGGCAGCAGUGGGGAAUAUUGGACAAUGGUCGCAAGCCUGAUCCAGCCAUACCGCGUGGGUGAAGAAGGCCUUCGGGUUGUAAAGCCCUUUUGCUGGGAAAGAAAAGCAGCAGGUUAAUACCCCGCUGUUCUGACGGUACCCAAAGAAUAAGCACCGGCUAACUUCGUG
RNAcentral lists this ribosomal RNA (492 nucleotides) under uncultured bacterium. Its description in RNAcentral is "partial 16S ribosomal RNA". It matches the Rfam family "Bacterial small subunit ribosomal RNA", at positions 29 to 507 of the family's 1533-position model. The record is from RNAcentral.